Long non-coding RNA from Argentina anserina (silverweed cinquefoil), 1358 nucleotides. RefSeq lists it as uncharacterized. NCBI's taxonomy places the organism in Eukaryota, Viridiplantae, Streptophyta, Magnoliopsida, Rosales, Rosaceae. The transcript is spliced from 2 exons. The record is from RefSeq and is a predicted model, not a curated record.
UGGGGUUGUGGUGGGUUGAUGUUCUGUGGGUUAGUGGUGGUGUUUUGAAGGGGAGGAGCUCUACUUGGUUUGGAAUAAUUGGCAUUGGGUGGUAGUUAUGGUGUUGGCUAUUCGUUACGGUUCUUUACAAGCAGCAGCUGUGGUUGUGGCGGGUCAAUGAUCUAUGGGGUUUGAACUAUAUGAAUACUGGUGUAUGAAGCGGACUUGGUUUUCUUGUGUGGGGAAGAUGGAAAUAUGGUGCGGUGUUAGUAGGUUGGGGUACAUGAUAUUGUGGGAUUUUGAUCAAGAUUUUAUGGAAGCAGAAGGGAAUUAUCUGUAUGGUUGCCUUGCCCUCUAGCGUGGGAUGGAACAACUGACUAGUCUAUGGAAGCUGAGGAAAAAUAUUCCACUUCAUUCUGAAGUUGUGACAUUUACUUGUCGAUGUAAUCUCCUCAUGCAGAUUUGCUAACUUCAUUUUAACCCCUUUUAGAGCUAGGUUUAGGUCUUUAGUUUUGGUUAUUAUGUGUAUAGUGUAGAAUGUCUAGUGGUCUAUGGAUACAGAUUUCUGUAGGAUUCUUUUCUAUUCUUGGAUUCCAUCUUCCUUAAUUUUCAGUUUCCAAUUUAGUGUCCUUAUACAUAGUCCUAACAUUGGUCGAUGUCUUUGUUCUUUAGUUUGGAGAUCCUCAAUUUCUUCCCUAGUUGGUCAUCCUCUUCCGUCAAUCUCUUUGCUUGGUCUGUCUUGCCUUCAUUGGCUUCUUUCCAAUCAACAACUCUCGCCUUCAUACUGAUGUAACUUUCUUACUUUCUUGUUCUAGUUACAAUCUGACUCCCUUGCUGCACUCUGAUAAAGGGUGUUUCUACUUCGCCCAUCUUUUCUGUUUUUUUUGAAAGAAAAGAGGGAAGGGGUAGUGGUUGUUGUUCAUUCCUACUUCUUCUUCAAUGUCUCUUGUUUUAGAGGGUCAAUCUGUAUUUCCUUGUCACGUAAGAUUUCCUUUAUCGAAAUCUUGUUCUUGCAAAUGAACAGCGCGCCUUAUUCCUGUGUUCAUAUUGUUUCACUCCAUGGAGAUGGUUGAUUUCGCCAAGCCAGCAACAAGGUGCAAGUUGGAAGAUCCAAGGCUGUUUUGCUAGCAGUGAGUUUCUGCAGUGAAUCUAGUUCUUUAUGUGGUAGUAGUCUCUUGAAGGAUCCGAAUGCAGUUCUAGUAUAUAAUCAUGAUCAUCAUGAUGUCUGUGUCUGGUGUUUUGUGCUGUGUACUAGGCGUUUAUCGAAUCCCAUGGGGAAAUAUGUGUAAUAUGCAUUUUAUGGUUUGUUUUCUUGAACUUCAGUGUUGUCGUACUUGGUUGUUAAUUUAUCAGCAGUGUUUCUAUUACUAUUUAUUUUA